AACAUGUAAGAAUAAAUACACAAUUUUUUAUAAAUAAAUUUUGGGGGAUUUCUGAGUUCCCCUUGUAGGUUAAGACCAGAUACUAACUGCUUUGACCAUAAUAUCCCAAUGACAAUAAAAAUUAUCCUUGUCUAGAAAUUAUUAUAAUGUUAUUUAUUUUUACUUAUAACAAGUGUCAUGAUCCCAGUGAUUGGAGUUGAUUUUUAAGAUGGAUAGCCAUAGAGUUAGGUAAAAUUAUUUUGAAUUGGCCAGUACUGAAAAUAAAAGUUUUAAAAACUGACCAAAAUAAUAAUUACUUACAUUUUACUUUUGUGUUUUCUGAAACAGCACUCCAUUAUCCAGAAAUCACAGGCUAGAGAGCCAAUAAUUUUAUAGUAAUGGAUCUUUAUACUAAAUAUGGGAAAGGCAGUCCUGAAGUGUUAUGUAUAUAGAUAGCAGUUCAUUUUUUAAAUGUCUGAGUUGCCAUAUAAUAUAUAUAUAGCAAUGUGUAUAAUGUGUAAAAUUCUCCCAAAGUACGUGAAUAAAACUAAAUAUAGUCACUCAUAGUGUUCCAAAAUUUUUAAUUAAUCCCCAUUCCUAAGACAUUCUAAAACUUGUUUUUAGAUUGUUUUAAAAGACUCUGGUUUUACCUUGAAGCUGGUACUAAUCUCCUUUCUGAAAAAUAUAUGAGAUAUUCAGCUCAGAAAAUAACCAGUCAUUAUUAUAACUUUCUUAAGGAAAAAGGGAAGAGUUCUGUAUGGAAGCCUCUUGGGAAAUACUUAUUUAAAACUUUGAAUAAAUAUGAGGUAUGAUUUAGGCUUAGAGAUUAUGGUACCUGCCCUUAUUCCAAAGGAUUUACUGUGAGCAUUCAUGUAAUAAUAACUGUAAUGUAUCUGAAGUUCUCAAGAAAUUCAAUAUUUUAAAUAACGGGAUUACUGUAUAUAGUACAAAUAGAUAGUCUUCACAAACUUUAAAAAUACAUUGACUAAUAGUUCAGCAUCUGUCAGUUUUUUAUGUAAGUACAUGUUGUAUACCUGAGGACGAUGACUAUUCUAUGAUUUUUUUAAGGUAAGGUAAUUUUUAAAUUGCAUUUUUGUUCUAGCUUUUUUCAAUUUAUAUUCACUUUUUAAGUACUUUCCAUAAUUCAUCAUGUUUACCUUCUGUGUUCCUGGAAUGAUUUUUUGAAAAAUGCACAGGAAUCAAACAUGAAUCCUUAAUAUACUAAAAAGUGAAAGAAUGAUGAUUUCUCAUUUUUAAGGUAAGAAGCAUGGUUUUUGCCACUUUGGCAAUACACUGCAAUACUUAACAUAUUCUCUAGUGAGAAAAGUAAAGAUGGGGUACUUCUACUGGCUAAGAUCCUAAUUCUGAUGCUAUGUGAUCUUUGAUCAAAUUUACAUCUCCCUUUGCCUUUUCUAUUCCACUUGUUAAACAGGGCUAAGUUAACAUUAAUAUUUGUCCUCACCUUAAAUUAUAAGAUGAAAUUUGUAACUGUGAUGUGAUAAAUGCUAAACUGAAAAUCCUUAUUAGGCUACUUUAUCUCUUAUCCUUUCAUUCUUUUAACAUGUACCUCCUUCUGCAGUAAUGCAGUCAGUGGUGAACACCAUUCAGGAAUCCUACCUCCAGCUCUGAAGCAGCCUCAAGGCAAUUGUUCCAGCCUGUAAAAUGGUCUGUUCUGCUCUGUUAGUGGUCCUGGUCAAAAGAUUCCUUUUAAUUUAGAAACCCAUUUUAAGUACAAAUCCUUGCUGCCAACCAGACCACUCGCAAGUCAAAUAAAAUUUGAGCAAGCAUUCCAGCACUCUUUUACAUCAAAACAAACUCUGAUCUUUGCUCUGUAAAGCUGUCCCACUUUAUCCUUAUGCCUGAAAUUGACCACUGCAGCCCUCUUGUUUUACCCAUAGCAUUAAGUGUAAAAGGCAUCUGUUUCUUUAUAGAAACAUUCACAAUGAGGUCCAAUUAGUGAACCUUGCAAAAUCCAGAUAGUAAUCCAUUGCAGUUAUUAUUUUCUCUUUCUAAUCCCUUCUCAGUCACUGACUGUAAUGCAGGGAUGUGAGAAAUCUGACUUAUCUGCACACACAAAAGUCAAAAGCAACAAUUCUCCCCACUUCCCUCCCCCCCCACCUCUUUCCCCCGGCUAGCUCUUACUGUUUUCUAAUUUCCAGCACAAACUGAAUGAACACAUCUAUAGCUAAUACAAAUGCUGCCUAUAACAUGGAAGAUUAAAUGACUUACUGCUUAUAAAGCAACCGUCUUUGAGUCCCAUGAAAUAGAUAUUGUUGCUACCACAAAAUAAGGUCUUAUUUUAAAAGUUGGAAAUAGAUGCCUUUAUUGCACUUCAGCCACUAGCAAACCAGGAGUAGCAACAUAAAAGUAUGGCAGCCACAUCUGAGAUUUGGCUUUCCUUCUGUCAUUCAAGAUGGCCAGGGCACUUGGAGGAAGCCUAAUAAACUCACUUAGAGAAGAAAAAACGAUAGCAUUAAAAACUCAUCAGCUCUAAACCACAACAGUAAACCAGCAGUCCAUUGCCACUUAAAACAUGUGGCUUUCAUCUUAUUCUUCAGUAGGAGUUGGGGACAGUAGUCCAAGUGACAUGGCUUUGAAGAUAUCAAGCUUGUCCUGGUAAACAUGGUCCAAAUGAGAAACACCGUUGCCUUUUUAGGUAUAACAAGAUUUCAGGCACAGCUCAGCUACAUCUGUACUUGAAAUACAAGAAGUGAUUCCUUGGGUUCUGUUGUAGAAGAAUGAACACUAGAGUUCAGCAACAAGUGCAAUUUCUACAUGUUGUGUGGAACUCUGCUAGAGCUACAAGGGGUGUUGGAUGUGAAAACCUUGCUGUGGGAAUUUUUUUUUUUUCCAGUUUGUUUUGGUAUAUUUUUCCUUUGAACACAGAUGCAUGCUUUUUUUAACCUCUAGUCUUUGAAGUGAUUGUGAAGAGAAUCUUUUUAAUGGAAGGCAAAAUGCUUGUUAGCAAUCUAAAAAUCAAAGCUGAACAAGCUGCUUAAGUAAGUUGCUGAUGCAGACAUUUAAAAAUAAAGAGUAAUUGCUACUGCUUUCCAGGUAAUUGUAUUACUAGUUUCUGUAUAAAAGAAACAUGACUGCUGUUCUUGUAUAAAUAAAAUUUGCCUUCAGUACAGUUAAGUAUUCGUUUUUCAGAAACUGUCCCUAUAAAUCUUUUCACAUAUUUCCAUAUACUGUCCAAAACAAAAAUUACUGAAAUGUUCAAUCUGUAGAGAUUAAAUACUCCUAGUAAAAUAUUUUUGUAUAUAUAAAGAAAUAAAUAUUUACUAUUGGAAAAAUGCAGUGUUUCAUUUAUAGGUAGAACCGAGGUUUAGAGUUUGUUUUGUUUUUGUUUUUAGUGGAGGAUUUCAGAUUAGCUGUGGUAAUUUCUUUUAAGUGCUAAUAGUCUUUGUAAAAAGCCCUUAAGAUCAUUUAGUUUUUCCCACCUAAAUAAACAUACAUUUAUCA
Long non-coding RNA from Carlito syrichta (Philippine tarsier), 3441 nucleotides. RefSeq lists it as uncharacterized. The transcript is spliced from 2 exons. The record is from RefSeq and is a predicted model, not a curated record. NCBI's taxonomy places the organism in Eukaryota, Metazoa, Chordata, Mammalia, Primates, Tarsiidae.